GACGAACGCUGGCGGCGUGCUUAACACAUGCAAGUCGAACGGAAAGGCCCUGCUUGCAGGGUACUCGAGUGGCGAACGGGUGAGUAACACGUGGGUGAUCUGCCCUGCACUUCGGGGUAAGCCUGGGAAACUCGGUCUCUUACCGGAUAUGAGCCCUUUUUCUUGUGAUGGUUGGAAAGUUUUUUCGGUGUGGGAUGAGCUCGCGGCCUAUCAGCUUGCUGGUGGGGUAAUGGCCUACCAAGGCGGCGACGGGUAGCCGGCCUGAGAGGGUGGACGGCCACAUUGGGACUGGGAUAAGGCCCAGAAUCCUACGGGAGGCAGCAGUGGGGAAUAAUGCACAAUGGGCGCAAGCCUGAUGCAACGACGCCGCGUGGGGGAUGAAGGCCUUCGGGUUGUAAACUCCUUUCGCUAGGGACGAAGCUUUUUGUGACGGUACCUAGAUAAGAAGCACCGGCUAACUACGUG
Molecule: ribosomal RNA, 465 nt
Filed under: uncultured bacterium
Lineage: Bacteria
Description: partial 16S ribosomal RNA
Rfam family: Bacterial small subunit ribosomal RNA
Source: RNAcentral